RNAcentral lists this non-coding RNA (95 nucleotides) under Danio rerio (zebrafish). The record is from Rfam by way of RNAcentral. Lineage: Eukaryota; Metazoa; Chordata; Actinopteri; Cypriniformes; Danionidae.
UUGCACUACCUAUCAUUGUCAAGCAGAACUCACCAAGUGUUUACUCACUAAUAGGAACGUAUGUGAGCUGGAUUUAGACCGUCAUGAGACAGGUU